GGUCUUAUGGCGCAGUCGGUAGCGCACGGUACUAAUACUCAGCGAGCUUGCUCAGGAGCAUUAGUGUAUGCCGCGGUCCACGGUUCGAGCCCGUGUGGGACCA
Molecule: non-coding RNA, 103 nt
Organism: Kwoniella sp. DSM 27419
Lineage: Eukaryota; Fungi; Basidiomycota; Tremellomycetes; Tremellales; Cryptococcaceae
Source: the annotation of a GenBank genome assembly